UCCUCAAUUUCAGCCUUCAGCUUCAGGACCGGACACGCGCGAUUUUGAAAUUCAUUUUUCACUUUCCCUUCCAACCUUCCCGCUGCACUGAGCCACGCAGACCGGAGAGCAGUCGACCGCAGCUUCACGCCUCCAAGUUCAACUCCACGACCUCGACCACGCCUCCGCCUCCACCUCCACUCCUCCACACGACGCGACUGCAAGAUACUUGCUUCCUCGACCCAGAUCUCCACCCAAAUUUCUGUCCCAGCUUUGCCUCAGAUUUCCACCGCCGUCGUUCUCUUCGACCUAGAUCUGGUGUUGCCUCAAAUCCAUCGUUCUCCUCGUCGUCCUCAGAUCUGGUGGAAAGCUAUAGACUUUGCAACACUGAACCGAUGUUCUAUAUCAUAUUUUGACUCUGAUAAAUUAGAACCAGCUGUUUGAAAAUGGGCAAGAGCAAGGACCAUGGCUGCUAAGGUGGGAAAAGGCUUGUCCAAAGAUGAGAUGGCCCAGAAAUUAGCGCUAAGGCACUGGCUUGAAGCUAUUGAUCCUCGUCAUCGCUAUGGCCACAACCUUCACAUCUACUAUGAUGUCUGCUUUCAUAGCCAGAGCUCUCAACCUUUUUUCUACUGAUUAUGUCAGUCAAGGCAGUAUCAUUAAUAUUGGCCUGGUGCACACAAAUAAAAAGGGAUUCUGCUCUUGGCUAUGCUUUCACUUUUAUAUGGCAAUUCUUCUGGAGGACUACUAAAUUUCCACCUUCAUGUUCAGAGGUAUCUGCUUGAAAUGCUUUAUCAACUAUAAAUAUAAUGCAUAUUUUGUGAUGAUUGAAAUUUAUGGUGGUGUGGUUUUUAUUACCGAAAUGAAUGUUGUUAUUUGUAAAGUGGAUUGAAGCAGAAAUUUGUUUGACAGCAUAUGAAGCAUUAGUUUUUGUUUUGAGAGUACUAGCAUCUACAUACUUUUCUCAAUUUUUGUUUCUCAUCAUGGGAAAAGAGAAAUUGUUUUUGGAGAGUGAAGGGAGGCCUUAGUUAGAUUCUAUGCUUUUAUCUUUUAUUCAAAAUAUUAACAAUCUCCUUGGAGUAGGAUUUUUGGCAAGAACUCGAAGAGCUGUUUUGUUGGAUUGGAAGCUGUUCUCUCUUUAUCUUGAGCGCGGCAGUGACUAACCCGGAUUCAGGCGUCCAUGGACUUGGCAGUAGCUUAAAUUUCGCCGGAAUCUCAGUUUUGCCCAGUUUUGCAGCUUUUGCGGCCUGAGAAGAAUUAAAAUGAAAGAAGUUAGUCGAUGUCAAGAAUAUAAAAACAUUAUUUAUAUAAGUAGUAAUUCUCCAAAGCUGAAGGCGCAUAACUUCAAAUGGUAACAAGGCCUUAUUACAGCAGGAGCGCACAUCGACCAGGCUUAUCAUCAAGAAGAGAAUCAGGUUUUGUUCCCCCUUGAAGGCUUGGUUUGGAUGGAGAAAAAAGUAAGAAAAAAUAGGGAGAAAAGAAAACUAGGAGGAGAAAUUCCCAACAAAAAUUUUUUUUUACUAUUUUUUGUUUUUUUUUUACCAUUUUUAGAAGUUUAUUGUCCUAGUUUUUCUUCCUUUUAUAUUUUUCUCACGAAAGGGAAAGGGGGGAGGAGGGGACUAAAGAAAUAACACAUCAUCUGUCUUAAACAGCUUAUACAAAGUCAUUAGUUCCAUUUUACAGAGUUCGGAAGAACACUACCUUCUAAGUACAUCUACAAAACCGUAUCACACAUCAACCAGGAGACUAAAAAAAAUAACACAUCAUCUGUCUUUUCCUCUUGGUCUUAUAGUAGUGCUAUUUUUCUUUUCUCAACUGGACUCUUCUCCUCGAAUCUUGUCAGGUGUUAAAACACUCUUUAUUCUUUCUUUUUGUAUCAUUUCGCUUUCUAUUAAUUUAUAUUUGAUUCACUUCCCAAAAAAAGGGGUAUUCCUCUUUGACACAGAUAUUAGACUUCACAUAUGUAGAAAUACUCAUCAUGCAAAUUUAAUCAAUAUAAUUCCAGAACGUGGCCUGCCCAAGACUAUUCGUUCAACAUCAGAGACAGUUUCAGGAUCAUCACAUAGCUCAGGAAAAUCUGUGCACGAAACACCAGCUUGCUGGGCCCAUUUCUCCAAAGUAUGACGUGAAGGAACAAUGAGAGCCACACAAUAGUCGCGGAAGGGAUCUGCAUAAACCAUAAUACUAUCCACGUAACGACAUGUUGACAGUGCUGCCUCAACCUGCAAUGAAGUUGGAACAGAGCACAAAAAAAGAUCCAGAUUAAUUUUCUAUAAGCCUUGUGCAAGUAGUUCAUCAAGAAUGAUAAGUUAAAGUCACCUUCCCAAUAGAGAUAUAUUCUCCAUGUUGAAGUUUGACAAUAUCCUUUUUUCUAUCUAUAAUUUCAAGACACCCAUCAGGAUGGAACCUUCCGAUAUCACCAGUAUAAAACCAACGCAUACCUUUCUCAUCAACCUGUACCAAGUUCACAAUUUGGUAUCCAGAGCCUCUUUCCUCACCUUGUAUGCCUGAAACACAUUCACAAGCUGCGCAAAGAAGAACGGCAUAUCAAAAUGAUGAGAGGUUUCAUACCCUGGAGAAUAUAUUCCAAGCCCUCACCACCUAGGUUGCCCAACUCAUUAGAAGCUUUGAUGAGUCUCGUAAUGGUGGAGGCUCUCCAUUUGACAGUAGCGACAGCAGCCCUCACUGGCCUAGAACUAAACAAUGUGAUUGUCUACCACCUACACAUUUUACCAAGAUGGACUUUCCAAGAUUAUAGAAUGCAGAUGUUCUUGGAUGGCUUCUAAAUUGUGAAAGACAUUUUCAUUUGGAUGAAACACCAAAAGCUAGGAAAAUCACCAUGGCUAGCAUUCAUAUGGACAAGAAGGCAUUCUAGUGGCAUCAAUCAUUUGAGCACUCAUCAGCAGGCCAACAAAUCCUUCAUAUGACUCGGACAAUUAUGUUAAAGCAAUUCAAGCAAGACUCGGACCUUCAUAUGAAGCCUUGAUGGAGGAUCUCAUGCAUUUGCAAAAGACAAGGAGUUUAGGGGUGUGUAAAGAUGCAUUCAAUGAGAUCGUAUGCAUUGCAAGCUUAAUCUUGUUCAGUCCUAUCUAGUAGGCUAGCAGGAAGAUUCGCUAGGCCUAAUUGAAUCUUGAUGCCCAAUACACUUCAAGAUGCAAAAAGUUGACCUGCCUCCAAGAAAUUAACCUCUAGAAGGCAUUUGAUGCAUUCACAUGGAGAAAAACAUUGUUUGGUAUUGUUGGGGGUUCUGGGUGUCAUUGAAGCCUUCUAUUCUGAAACAUAGGUAAUGACCAAGAAGGGAAGUUCUUGUGGUGAGUCCUAACAAAUCAAAACAAAUUCAUCCAAAACACCUUCAGGGGCACCCACGGCUUUGUCUGCAAGAUCAAACCUAGGAAGCUCAUCUUUUUCAUCGUCCAAACAACAAACCUUUGGUUUGAUAAUCUCCAAGACGAUGAGCCUAAAAGAAGAUGCAAAACUUAGAGACCGGAAUCUUCAUUUUUAUUGCCAUCAAAAGUAUUCAAGAGGCCAUAAUUUCCCUCAGAGAAGGAAAAUGCAGUUACAAAUUAUAGAAAUUGAUAAAACCUCUGAAGAACACAUUCAAGAACCUUAUGGUAAGAAUGAAGAUGAUGAAGACUCCCUUGGAUGUCUCCAUGUUUCAAUUCAUGCUAUAGAAGGGGAGGUGGGAACAAAUUCAAUGAGGCUGCAAGUACAUGUGGGCAGGAAGCCAGCUCAAAUUCUGGUUGACAAUGGAAUCAUCCUUGACUUCUUAGAUUAUGAUUUAACCAAGAAACUUGGAUGAAAUGGGGAAGAUGACUGGGCAAAUGCAGUGGUUGCUGGAGCAAGAAGAUUGAAGGUCUAUGGUGUUUGGAAAGAAUUCAAAUGGUGGAUGUAAGGAGAGGAGUUCUCCAUAGAUUUAAGAGUCAUGAAUAUAAAAUUGACAAUUUUUUGGGGCUGGAAAUGGCUCAAAAGUCUUUGUUACGCUUUUUAGGAUUAUGAUUCUUCAAAAAUGUAUUUAUAGAAUAAUGGAAGAAUGUGUUUUGCAAGCACAACCUCAAAUGGAAUGGCACCUGUAGCAAAAUACAUGUGAAAAUCUUAUUUUACUAUAUGCAUUUAUUGUAGGCCUUACAAAUUGACAAGAUAAGUGAUGAGGAAGACCUUGGCAAGGCUGUGGAUGCAGGAAGAUACCAACAGAUGGUGGGGAAGUUAAUCUACCUCUCACACUUGACUAGAUAUUGCUUUCACAGUAAGUAUGGUUAGUCAGCGCUCUCGUGAUCCAAGGCAAAACACUUAAGUCUACAGAAUUCUUAGACACCUUAAAGGAUCUCCGAGAUGUGGCCUCUUGUUCAAGAAGUCUAACACAUGAAUGUGGAAAUUUUUAUAGAUGCAGAUUGGGCAAGUGACUAGGAUGACAAAAUCCAAAUUUGGAUAUUGUAUGUAUGUUUGGGGCAAUCUUGUCACUUGGCGAAGUAAGAAGCAGAGUGUAGUUGCAAAAAGCAGUGUAGAAGCUGAGUUUAGAGCAGUAGCACUUGGGAUUUGUGAUGGUAUAUGGCUUAAGCGAGUACUUGAUGAAUUGAAGAAAAGUGUAAAUUUGCCAAUCAAACUUUGUUCAGACAGUAUGGCAGCCAGUAACAUAUCACAUAAUUCGGUUCAACAUCAUAGAACUAAGCAUGUUGAGAUUGGUGGGCAUUUUAUAAGAGAAAAGAUAGACAAUGGGAUAAUUCGACUAGUCUAUAUUCCUUUAGUACAACAAAUCACAAACAUCUUUACAAAAGGAGUAGCUCAAGACAAAUUUGACUACUUUGUGGCAAGUUGGACAUGAUUAACAUCCAUGAUCCAAAUUGAGGGAGAAUGUGAAAAUCCCAAUUUAUUAUAUACAUUUAUUGUAAAUAUUAUAGAAUCAGAUCUUAUUCUUUAUUCUUUAUUCCUUGUUUAAUUUCUCCCUGAUUUUCAGUCCUCACAAUUAUUAGGGCUGGAUGUAUUUUUGCUAUACAUAUAUUUUCCCCUCUUGGGAGGAAAAAUAUAUCCAAGCAUUAUUUCCAAUUCUCCUACAAUUCAAUGCCAUCAAAAUUCCAUUAGUAACCAACCUAGAUUGGCCUUUAUAUCAAAUGAAUGUGAAAAAUGCAUUCUUGCAUAGUGAUUUAGAAGAAGAGGUUUAUAUGGAGACACCUCUUCGUUUUCGAACCAAGACCAAGAAUAAAGCCCAUAAGCUUCUAAGCCUUACAAAUCUCUAAGUGGUUUGGAACAGUCUCUUAGAGCAUGGUUUGGACACUUCACUACAAUUGUGUAGGAGAAUGGAUACAAACAGUGCCAGUCAGAUCAUAUUUUGUUCCUUAAGCAUAGAUGAGAAAAGAGGGCUAUACUAAUUGUUUAUGUUGAUGAUAUUAUCAAUCACUGGUGAUGCAUGGAGAUUCAGCAAAUGAAAGGUCAACUAGCAUCAGAAUUCGAAGUGAAAGAUCUUGGAAAUUUGAGGUAUUUUCUUGGCUUGGAAGUUGCUAGAUAAAAUGGCAUUUAUAUGUCUCAGAAUAUAUACUCUUGAUUUCCUAUAGCAAACAAACAUGUUGGGAUGUAGACAAGCAGCUACUCUUAUUGAUCUUAACCUCAAAUUAGGUGUACAUGAAGAUUGUCCACUUGCUGAUGAAGAACGAUAUCAACAUCUAUUGGGGAAAUUGAUCUACUUAUCCCACACUGGACCAAAUAUAACCUAUCUUGUCAAUAUGUGUGUAGUCUUCAGGAUACUCAAUUAUUUGAAGUCUUCUCCUGGUAAAGCUUUAUUCUUCAAAAUGGAAGUUGUAGUUUCAAGAAGUAGUGCAGAAGCUGAACUUCAAGCUCUUGCACAUGGUAUAUGUGAAGGUCUUUGACUGGAAAGAGUGUUCAAGGAGUUGAAGAUCCAUUAUGAAGAGCCUAUGAAAUUUUUAUGAGACAAUCAAGCUAUUGGUAUUGUGAAGAAUCCAAUUCAUUGUGUUGGACCAAACAUGUUGAAAUUGAUCAUCACUUCAUUAAAGAGAAAAUUGGCAACAAGCAAGUUGAAGUAAGGUACACGCCUACAAGGAUACAGAUUGCAGAUAUCCCUUACCAAGUCCCUGGCAAAGCCUAAGUUUGAAAGCUUAAUGAGCAAGUUGAGAAUGAUUGACAUCUAUUCUCCAACAUAAGGGAGAGCACUGGAAAGA
Prosopis cineraria is the source of this 6143-nucleotide long non-coding RNA. RefSeq lists it as uncharacterized. The record is from RefSeq and is a predicted model, not a curated record. NCBI's taxonomy places the organism in Eukaryota, Viridiplantae, Streptophyta, Magnoliopsida, Fabales, Fabaceae. The transcript is spliced from 8 exons.